RNAcentral lists this ribosomal RNA (1110 nucleotides) under Burkholderiaceae bacterium FMAC7c. RNAcentral's name for it is "bacterial SSU rRNA". It matches the Rfam family "Bacterial small subunit ribosomal RNA", at positions 57 to 1167 of the family's 1533-position model. Lineage: Bacteria; Pseudomonadati; Pseudomonadota; Betaproteobacteria; Burkholderiales; Burkholderiaceae. The record is from RNAcentral.
GCAAGUCGAACGGCAGCACGGGGGCAACCCUGGUGGCGAGUGGCGAACGGGUGAGUAAUACAUCGGAACGUGUCCUGUAGUGGGGGAUAGCCCGGCGAAAGCCGGAUUAAUACCGCAUACGAUCUACGGAAGAAAGCGGGGGAUCUUCGGACCUCGCGCUAUAGGGGCGGCCGAUGGCAGAUUAGCUAGUUGGUGGGGUAAAGGCCUACCAAGGCGACGAUCUGUAGCUGGUCUGAGAGGACGACCAGCCACACUGGGACUGAGACACGGCCCAGACUCCUACGGGAGGCAGCAGUGGGGAAUUUUGGACAAUGGGGGCAACCCUGAUCCAGCAAUGCCGCGCGUGUGAAGAAGGCCUUCGGGUUGUAAAGCACUUUUGUCCGGAAAGAAAACCUCUUGGUUAAUACCUGAGGGGGAUGACGGUACCGGAAGAAUAAGCACCGGCUAACUACGUGCCAGCAGCCGCGGUAAUACGUAGGGUGCGAGCGUUAAUCGGAAUUACUGGGCGUAAAGCGUGCGCAGGCGGUCUGUUAAGACCGAUGUGAAAUCCCCGGGCUUAACCUGGGAACUGCAUUGGUGACUGGCAGGCUUUGAGUGUGGCAGAGGGAGGUAGAAUUCCACGUGUAGCAGUGAAAUGCGUAGAGAUGUGGAGGAAUACCGAUGGCGAAGGCAGCCUCCUGGGCCAACACUGACGCUCAUGCACGAAAGCGUGGGGAGCAAACAGGAUUAGAUACCCUGGUAGUCCACGCCCUAAACGAUGUCAACUAGUUGUUGGGGAUUCAUUUCCUUAGUAACGUAGCUAACGCGUGAAGUUGACCGCCUGGGGAGUACGGUCGCAAGAUUAAAACUCAAAGGAAUUGACGGGGACCCGCACAAGCGGUGGAUGAUGUGGAUUAAUUCGAUGCAACGCGAAAAACCUUACCUACCCUUGACAUGGUCGGAAGUCUGCUGAGAGGUGGACGUGCUCGAAAGAGAACCGGCGCACAGGUGCUGCAUGGCUGUCGUCAGCUCGUGUCGAGAGAUGUUGGGUUAAGUCCCGCAACGAGCGCAACCCUUGGCCUUAGUUGCUACGCAAGAGCACUCUAAGGAGACUGCCGGUGACAAACCGGA